UUACCGCGGCUGCUGGCACGGAGUUAGCCGGUGCUUCUUCUGUGGGUGAUGUCCUUCCUCGAGGGUAUUAACCCCAAGGCCUUCUUCCCCACUGAAAGUGCUUUACAACCCGAAGGCCUUCUUCACACACGCGGCAUGGCUGGAUCAGGGUUGCCCCCAUUGUCCAAUAUUCCCCACUGCUGCCUCCCGUAGGAGUUCGGGCCGUGUCUCAGUCCCGAUGUGGCUGAUCAUCCUCUCAGACCAGCUACGGAUCGUCGCCUUGGUGAGCCGUUACCUCACCAACCAGCUAAUCCGACAUAGGCUCAUCCGAUAGCGCAAGGUCCGAAGAUCCCCUGCUUUCUCCCGUAGGACGUAUGCGGUAUUAGCCUGAGUUUCCCCAGGUUAUCCCCCACUACCGGGCAGAUUCCUAUGCAUUACUCACCCGUCCGCCGCUCGACGCCCGGGAGCAAGCUCCCGUCGUUUCCGCUCGACUUGCAUGUGUUAGGCCUGCCGCCAGCGUUCAAUCUGAGCCAUGAUCAAACUC
RNAcentral lists this ribosomal RNA (523 nucleotides) under uncultured Gammaproteobacteria bacterium. RNAcentral describes it as "partial 16S ribosomal RNA". The record is from RNAcentral. Lineage: Bacteria; Pseudomonadati; Pseudomonadota; Gammaproteobacteria.